Molecule: transfer RNA, 60 nt
Filed under: Glyptonotus cf. antarcticus FK-2009
Lineage: Eukaryota; Metazoa; Arthropoda; Malacostraca; Isopoda; Chaetiliidae
Description: tRNA-Phe
Source: RNAcentral
UUUAUAGAAGUUCUUUGAAUAUAAUACUGAAGCUAUUAAGGAGGCCUAUGGCCCAUAAAU